GACGAACGCUGGCGGCGUGCUUAACACAUGCAAGUCGAGCGGUAAGGCCCUUUCGGGGGUACACGAGCGGCGAACGGGUGAGUAACACGUGGGUGACCUGCCCUCAGCUCUGGGAUAAGCCCGGGAAACUGGGUCUAAUACUGGAUAUGACUCCAUGACGCAUGUUGUGGGGUGGAAAGCCUUGUGCGGCUGAGGAUGGGCCCGCGGCCUAUCAGCUUGUUGGUGGGGNGAUGGCCUACCAAGGCGACGACGGGUAGCCGGCCUGAGAGGGCGACCGGCCACACUGGGACUGAGACACGGCCCAGACUCCUACGGGAGGCAGCAGUGGGGAAUCUUGCGCAAUGGGCGAAAGCCUGACGCAGCGACGCCGCGUGAGGGAUGACGGCCUGGUGUAA
This 395-nucleotide ribosomal RNA is filed under the name uncultured bacterium. RNAcentral describes it as "bacterial SSU rRNA". It matches the Rfam family "Bacterial small subunit ribosomal RNA", at positions 28 to 428 of the family's 1533-position model. The record is from RNAcentral.